Molecule: transfer RNA, 73 nt
Filed under: Paramuricea clavata
Lineage: Eukaryota; Metazoa; Cnidaria; Anthozoa; Malacalcyonacea; Plexauridae
Rfam family: tRNA
About the family: Transfer RNA (tRNA) molecules are approximately 80 nucleotides in length. Their secondary structure includes four short double-helical elements and three loops (D, anti-codon, and T loops).
Source: Rfam by way of RNAcentral
CCCUCGGUAGCUCAGUUGGUUAGAGCGCUGCACCGGAAUCGCAGGGCCGUAGGUUCAAUUCCUACCAGAGGAC